RNAcentral lists this transfer RNA (64 nucleotides) under Trigonidium sjostedti. Its description in RNAcentral is "tRNA-Phe". The record is from RNAcentral. Lineage: Eukaryota; Metazoa; Arthropoda; Insecta; Orthoptera; Trigonidiidae.
AUUUAAAUAGCUUAUAUAGAGUAUAACAUUGAAGAUGUUAGGGAAACCUUUAGGUUUUUAAGUA